Non-coding RNA from Mycena maculata, 93 nucleotides. Lineage: Eukaryota; Fungi; Basidiomycota; Agaricomycetes; Agaricales; Mycenaceae. The record is from the annotation of a GenBank genome assembly.
GCUCAUCUGGCAGAACGGUAAUGCCCCUUGUAACUGUGUCUCGACGAAAUACUGUUUCGUAGGUGGUUCCGGGUUCGAGUCAUGGGCUGAGCG